This 460-nucleotide ribosomal RNA is filed under the name uncultured bacterium. RNAcentral describes it as "partial 16S ribosomal RNA". It matches the Rfam family "Bacterial small subunit ribosomal RNA", at positions 338 to 795 of the family's 1533-position model. The record is from RNAcentral.
CCUACGGGAGGCAGCAGUAGGGAAUAUUGCUCAAUGGGGGAAACCCUGAAGCAGCAACGCCGCGUGCAGGAUGACGGCCCUACGGGUUGUAAACUGCUUUUAUACGGGAAUAACGCGCCUUACGUGUAGGGCUUUGCAUGUACCGUAUGAAUAAGGACCGGCUAAUUCCGUGCCAGCAGCCGCGGUAAUACGGAAGGUCCGGGCGUUAUCCGGAUUUAUUGGGUUUAAAGGGAGCGUAGGCCGCAUGUCAAGCGUGCUGUGAAAUUUCCGGGCUCAACCCGGGCCUUGCAGCGCGAACUGGCGUGCGUGAGUCCGCGGAAAGCAGGCGGAAUUCGUCGUGUAGCGGUGAAAUGCUUAGAUAUGACGAAGAACCCCGAUUGCGAAGGCAGCUUGCUGCAGCGGAACUGACGCUGAGGCACGAAAGCGUGGGUAUCGAACAGGAUUAGAUACCCGGGUAGUC